RNAcentral lists this ribosomal RNA (467 nucleotides) under uncultured bacterium. Its description in RNAcentral is "partial 16S ribosomal RNA". It matches the Rfam family "Bacterial small subunit ribosomal RNA", at positions 29 to 507 of the family's 1533-position model. The record is from RNAcentral.
ACGCACGCUGGCGGCGUGCUUCACCCCUGCAAGUCGCACGGAAAGGCCCUGCUUUUGUGGGGUGCUCGAGUGGCGAACGGGUGAGUAACACGUGAGUAACCUGCCCUUGACUUUGGGAUAACUUCAGGAAACUGGGGCUAAUACCGGAUAGGAGCUCCUGCUGCAUGGUGGGGGUUGGAAAGUUUCGGCGGUUGGGGAUGGACUCGCGGCUUAUCAGCUUGUUGGUGGGGUAGUGGCUUACCAAGGCUUUGACGGGUAGCCGGCCUGAGAGGGUGACCGGCCACAUUGGGACUGAGAUACGGCCCAGACUCCUACGGGAGGCAGCAGUGGGGAAUAUUGCACAAUGGGCGGAAGCCUGAUGCAGCAACGCCGCGUGCGGGAUGACGGCCUUCGGGUUGUAAACCGCUUUCGCCUGUAACGAAGCGUGAGUGACGGUAAUGGGUAAAGAAGCACCGGCUAACUACGUG